Molecule: small nuclear RNA, 105 nt
Filed under: Catagonus wagneri (Chacoan peccary)
Lineage: Eukaryota; Metazoa; Chordata; Mammalia; Artiodactyla; Tayassuidae
Source: RNAcentral
UUGCUUUGGUAGCAUAUAUCAAAAAAAAAAAGGAACAAUACAGAGAAGAUUAGCAUGGACCUGAGAAAGAAUGAAAUGCAAAUAUGUGAAGCAUUCCACUUUUUA